AUAAGUAUGAAAGAGAGGGACCAACAUUAAAAGCUGUUACUUUUUAGGAAGCACAUUAAAACUCUGAUGCAUUCUUUCUGUGUUCUAAAUAGAAUGUUGGCUGAUCCACUUGAUUUGACCUUCGCAAUGGUUACAAUGUAGUUUUGACUCAAAACGGUCCAAUAAUCCUAAUAGAGAGAAGGGGGAAAGAGUGAGCAUUCACAGCCGACAGGACGCCAUCUUUGUUCCUGUAAGGAAAAACUUGAAGCACAGGCGCCACUGUCUUAACUUCCUCCACUCGUGGCCGAAGACUGCCAGCAGCUUAUCUCAAGACUGAUCAGAAUAAGUCCUUUAUUAGACGAUUUGAGCACAUUAAGGACGUAUACAAGUUCAAUGCACAAGACUUGUGUGGCUCUGGAGUGCAGCAUUACUAGUUUGACCAUCUUCAUACAGAUAAAACACAACACUCCUAUUCUAAUGGAUCAGCACAUACAUCCUCAGCCUGAUCUUUCAUAUGGUGUCCAGACCCCUCAGAGAGUGCAGAGAGUUGGCAUCAAAGUGAUGACAUGGAGAUGAUUGAAGUGAAGUGAACUUUUGUUUAAUUUGUUGUAUCCAAAAUACCUUACUUAGUUUGUCAGACCAGUAGCAACAAAAUUAUUCUCUAUCUGCCCAAGUGCUAAAAUAGUUUAUCAGCUUUUCAUUGGUCAUUUGUUUUUAUUUAUUUUUAUUUUGUUUUUUACUUGUUUAUUAAUCUUACUUAUGGUUACAGUGUUACCUUAUAGUUAAUGUUAAAAGAUUUAAUGUUUAUUAUUUUUAUAUAAAUAUUAUAAUUACUAAUUAACUUUUAGCUUAUUAUUACAAACCUACGGAUUUAUUAAGUCAAUUCUCAUAACUAUUGCAUUAUAAAUUGUGUUAA
Molecule: long non-coding RNA, 895 nt
Organism: Myxocyprinus asiaticus (Chinese sucker)
Lineage: Eukaryota; Metazoa; Chordata; Actinopteri; Cypriniformes; Catostomidae
Exons: 3
Source: RefSeq, a predicted model, not a curated record